This 479-nucleotide ribosomal RNA is filed under the name uncultured bacterium. RNAcentral describes it as "bacterial SSU rRNA". It matches the Rfam family "Bacterial small subunit ribosomal RNA", at positions 330 to 801 of the family's 1533-position model. The record is from RNAcentral.
UGCGAACUCCUACGGGAGGCAGCAGUGGGGAAUUUUGGACAAUGGGGGCAACCCUGAUCCAGCAAUGCCGCGUGAGUGAAGAAGGCCUUCGGGUUGUAAAGCUCUUUUGUCAGGGAAGAAACGGUAGUAGCUAAUAUCUAUUACUAAUGACGGUACCUGAAGAAUAAGCACCGGCUAACUAAGUGCCAGCAGCCGCGGUAAUACGUAGGGUGCAAGCGUUAAUCGGAAUUACUGGGCGUAAAGCGUGCGCAGGCGGUUGUGUAAGUCAGAUGUGAAAGCCCCGGGCUCAACCUGGGAAUUGCAUUUGAGACUGCACGGCUAGAGUGUGUCAGAGGGGGGUAGAAUUCCGCGUGUAGCAAUGAAAUGCGUAGAUAUGUGGUGAAAUACCGAUGGCGAAGGCGGCCCCCUGGGAUAACACUGACGCUCAUGCACGAAAGCGUGGGGAGCAAACUAGAUUAGAGGCCCGUGUAGUCCAGAUG